GCAAACUUGGUCAUUUAGAGGAAGUAAAAGUCGUAACAAGGUUUCCGUAGGUGAACCUGCGGAAGGAUCAUUAACGAGUUAGGGUCUUCUGGCCCGACCUCCCAACCCUUUGUCUACCUGACCACUGUUGCUUCGGCGAGCCCGUCUGUAGCGGACCGCCGGGGGGUAACCUUCACGGCCCCCUGGCCAGCGCUCGUCGAUAGCCCUAACCUUUUAAAAAUCUUUAACUAAACGUGUCUCAAUCUAAGUACCUUUGUUAAAUAAAAGCAAAACUUUCAACAACGGAUCUCUUGGUUCUGGCAUCGAUGAAGAACGCAGC
Molecule: unclassified non-coding RNA, 319 nt
Filed under: uncultured fungus
Lineage: Eukaryota; Fungi
Description: partial contains small subunit ribosomal RNA, internal transcribed spacer 1, and 5.8S ribosomal RNA
Rfam family: Eukaryotic small subunit ribosomal RNA (bases 1-73)
Source: RNAcentral